This 465-nucleotide ribosomal RNA is filed under the name Triticum aestivum (bread wheat). RNAcentral's name for it is "partial small subunit ribosomal RNA". Lineage: Eukaryota; Viridiplantae; Streptophyta; Magnoliopsida; Poales; Poaceae. The record is from RNAcentral.
AUGGUGCCCGCACCAGGACCGCCCUCCACCGCCGGCUCUAUCUCCGGCGAGCGCCGCACCGUCUCCCUGCCUUGUCUACGGUGCCGGCGUCAACAACAGCAGUGGACCGGAGCAACUACCUCGCUCCACCAUGUUGCCGACCUCUUGCCGUGGCCUCCUCCUCGCUUCAAGUCCUUGUUGUCAAGCCUCACGUCACCGCCCUGCUACGUUCAUCACCGGAGAUCGCCAGAUCUGGUCGCGUUGGGUCGGGUCGGGUCCUCCCGUCCCUGCCUUGCUGCUUCCCACCAGAGGCCUUCCGUCUCAUGUUUGUUUUGGAUCAGCAAGGAUGAGACACCAAGAACCCUACCCGGACCAUCAAGCACCUUCUCCGAGGAUUUUGCCAAGUACCAUGACAUGAACGACCCUCGAACGCGUCAAGUACCACUACCGUCAAGUACCUCUUCGCAAGACCAAGUUCCUUUAUGA